Molecule: ribosomal RNA, 253 nt
Filed under: uncultured bacterium
Lineage: Bacteria
Description: partial 16S ribosomal RNA
Rfam family: Bacterial small subunit ribosomal RNA
Source: RNAcentral
GACGAACCGAGCGAACGUUGUUCGGAAUCACUGGGCUUAAAGGGCGCGUAGGCGGGUUCUCAAGUCCGGGGUGAAAUCCCACAGCUCAACUGUGGAACUGCCUCGGAUACUGGGUGCCUCGAGGGUGGUAGGGGUAUGCGGAACUAUCGGUGGAGCGGUGAAAUGCGUUGAUAUCGAUAGGAACACCAGUGGCGAAGGCGGCCGACUGGGCCGUUCCUGACGCUGAGACCCGAAAGCUAGGGUAGCGAACCGG